Molecule: non-coding RNA, 537 nt
Organism: Arachis ipaensis
Lineage: Eukaryota; Viridiplantae; Streptophyta; Magnoliopsida; Fabales; Fabaceae
Source: RefSeq, a predicted model, not a curated record
GUCUCCCCUCUCAAAUCACAACACAAACAUAGAGGUCUCUUCUUCUCCACUAUACUUAUCAAUGGCGUCUGUGCGAUUGUCGUUCACGCCACCUUCCUCUCUUCCGGCUACCUUCUCACCGCCACCGGCCCCCAAGCCCUCUUCGAUGACGCCCUCUCACAUCCCUCCACUGAGGAGGUGUCUGUAGAGAACUGAAACCAACUUAACCAAGAAUAUGUCUUUGUUUAUGUCAAUCCAAAAAAGAUUUCGAAUAAAGUGCUGGUAAAGUGCCUCGUCAUGAAUGAGAAGUUACUCAUUGAUGCCUUGAAGGAAGGGUCUUCUGACCCUGCACACCUUGAGAUUUGUGUUAGGGAUUAUACUAUAGCAAAUGAAAACAGCAAUUAUUCUGAGCAGAGCGCUGUGGGGAAGACAAGAACAGAGAAACGAAGAGAAGAGAAGACAGAGCGCUGUGGGCUUUAAAAUUGGGAAUUAGGGUUUUAACUUGAUUUGAGGGACCAAAUUGAUUCCGGACAGUUUACUCUGCCACAUUAGCUAGCC